GGCAAGGUGGCCGAGUGGUUAAGGCGGUGGUUUUAAGUCAAUAUCUACCAAGAUGUUUUAAGCACCACUAUCGUAAGAUGCAAGGGUUCGAACCCCUUCCUUGUCA
Whalleya microplaca is the source of this 106-nucleotide non-coding RNA. NCBI's taxonomy places the organism in Eukaryota, Fungi, Ascomycota, Sordariomycetes, Xylariales, Xylariaceae. The record is from the annotation of a GenBank genome assembly.